This 497-nucleotide ribosomal RNA is filed under the name uncultured bacterium. Its description in RNAcentral is "partial 16S ribosomal RNA". It matches the Rfam family "Bacterial small subunit ribosomal RNA", at positions 28 to 507 of the family's 1533-position model. The record is from RNAcentral.
GAUGAACGCUGGCGGCGUGCCUAAUACAUGCAAGUCGAGCGAACAGAUGAGGAGCUUGCUCCUCUGACGUUAGCGGCGGACGGGUGAGUAACACGUGGAUAACCUACCUAUAAGACUGGGAUAACUUCGGGAAACCGGAGCUAAUACCGGAUAAUAUAUUGAACCGCAUGGUUCAAUAGUGAAAGACGGUUUUGCUGUCUCUUAUAGAUGGAUCCGCGCCGCAUUAGCUAGUUGGUAAGGUAACGGCUUACCAAGGCAACGAUGCGUAGCCGACCUGAGAGGGUGAUCGGCCACACUGGAACUGAGACACGGACCAGACUCCUAAGGGAGGCAGCAGUAGGGAAUCUUCCGCAAUGGGCGAAAGCUUGACGGAGCAACGCCGCGUGAGUGAUGAAGGUCUUCGGAUCGUAAAACUCUGUUAUUAGGGAAGAACAAAUGUGUAAGUAACUAUGCACGUCUUGACGGUACCUAAUCAGAAAGCCACGGCUAACUACGUG